GGUAACCAUGAGUGUCAACCAAAGUCUGCUAAAUAGUUAGAUACAGUUAUACUUGUACCAGAAUGUUAUUUUGUCUUACAGACAAUUUUACACCAUUUAAGUUGCACACAUGGAACUUGCUAUGGUGUCAAUUUCAAAGGACAAGGUACAGGCGUUUGGCUGAAGAUCUUGGAAGAGACUAUUGCGCACUUUGCGUGAAAGAGUCAGCUCUUGGAAAUGGGUGCGGGAGGGGCACACAUUGUCUCUUCUGAAAUGGUUAAAACAAUUCGCAUGCAGCGGCCAGUUUCAAAUGACGACUUCUGACUGAAGCAUAAAGUUGUGGGAGCUGCACAUAUAGGCCAACUGCACAUGAAACAAGUAAAUCCGACAAGUCAUGAAGUUAUGCAGAUAACACCGCAUCUGAGAACGAACGUGUUACCCAUCACCCCCGACUCAACCCAAUACAGCGUUGAAAAAGCACAGACUGUGAGGCAGUUUGGGCACUUCCCUUUGGACAACAGCCCUGAGACCAAUAUAAAUCUGACAAUAACUGACUAAUUAACACAAUAGACAACAAUACAGUUUCUUCCGGAGUUUUACUGACUUUGUGAGUACUAAAUCCAACCAACAUCUCAUCUGCAGUAGCAUAGAGCCAGCAAGCUCCCUUCCCUUCCCAGCUAUGGCUCCCCCUAGCCGUGCUUCCAUAUUUCCUUGUUUAUGCACAGCAUAAUGGCCUGACCCUCCCUUCUCUAUAACAUUAUACAGACACUACCUAGCACCUGAAAACCUAAAUUUCUCUAGAUAUAUUUUGAGAUUAGAGUCUCUAUAUACCUCAUAUUCAUCCAAUGGCACCCUAAACAUAGUGGAACAGAGCUUUUCUUACCUUUACAAAGUGCCUCUCUCUAUACCUCUCUCUCUCCAAAGUCCCAACCUCGAUAGCCUCCUUCUUCUUCCCAGAAAUCCCUGCAAAAGGGGCACUUCCAUGUAAGUUGAAUGUGUAGGGGUGCUCAUUUUGGACUCAACCAUUACUGUAAAAUACAGAAGGCCCCAGAUGCUCAGAAAGGGCCUAUUUGGGUACAUAGUCCCACAGGCGCCAACAUGUCCCUUUCAAAUGGUAUGACACUGGCCCUAUAGUAAAUAACCGUCCCCUAACUCCCUCUGUCCUCCCCCCCAAUGGCUUUCACAUCAUAUGGCCCAUCCACCAGUCAUACAGCCAAUGCAGAGAAGCAAUUGUAACUUGCUGCACAAAUGAGCUCUCAGAGAGAUUCCACUGGGUUUUUGUGGAUUCACCAAGCCUUAGGGCCUCUUAGAGCUGCCCAAAAUCAUUGCUAGGGGAUAUUUUGGACACACAAAGACCCCUUUUUAUUGAAACAGACCAUUUGAAUGCAGAGGAAAAUAUUAUGGUGUGAAUAUGAUGCAAUCAAGCAAAAAGAGAACACUGUCUCCAAGUGUCCCUCUCCAAAAGUGCAGAGAUGUAUCCACUGGGACAAGGAGCUUUCCACUCACACAACGAGAAGGUCAUUAAGAUCCUUAAGUUUAAAAUGUAAUUUUUAAGAAUGUUUUUCUUCAUAUAUUACUAAACACAUUAUAAUUUUAAGGUGUGGCGGAUGACAAAUGCCAAUUUUGGGGUCCGCGCUUUGAAAGCCCAACAGGUAAGCUCACUAAUUGACAGGACACAUUGCAGUGCAUAAGGUAAGUACUUCAUUCUUGUUCAAAACUAUAUGUAUAUACUUAAAUAAAAUAUAAUUUUUAAAUAUUUUAAGAUGUAAUAUAUCAAUGGUGUAUCAUCUCAAACUGAAAUUAUACAUAUUUACCAUAUAUUCUACAAUAUACACCUACCACUUUAUUAUAAUAUUUUAUUCAGCACUAGCCUACAGUUGAGAGCAUGAUCCUGAAACAAGAUAGCAUGCUAAUGUUUUUAAAAUAAACUUAUCAGAAAAUGAACAAAAGAUAGCCUAGCUUUUUAAGACUUGACUGAACCAAAUUUGAUAUAGCCUACCUGAAUAAGCAGCUAUAUAUCAGGAUCUGACAGUAGGCAUCAUCAAGACAUGAAAUGAGUAUGCUUUCAAAAUUGCCAAAGUAGAAGUGGUGUGAAAAACAAAUGCCAGUACUUGGUUUCCUGCGAGUCCAGACGUGAGAUGAUCUUUGUCCUAAAACAAUAAGCCCCCAAACCAGUCGUCAACUGCCCAAAGCAACAGCAGAUCAAUCCAAACCUUCAGUAUCAAAAUACAGCGUAAAACGUAGUCUCAUUUUAAAACCUUGAAUAACAAACGCCUAAACACCUGCCCAGAACGAAUAUCGGCACUACAGCACAGAUAUGCUAUUUAAAAUGAAUCAUGUAUUCGUAAACAAUGUUAGAUUAUAUUUAAUCGAAUAACAAUGAGACACUAGGUACAUUCAGAAUAUGGAGACAGGCUUCAGCGCAGGAUUGGAGAUGUCAGCUGCUGGCGCGCGCCUGUCGCUUUUGUUCACGAGAACAGCCGCAGCUGUCUGACUAGAAUAGAGCACAUUUGUGAGCGGAAUAAGAACAAAUAACAGAAAUGAACUGGUCAUUUAUCUGAACAGUAGCCAAUAGCCAUGGUGGUAGUAAGCUUCAUAUUUUAGUUGUCUGUCGGCGGGUUGAAUGCGUAAAUAUUUACAUGUAGGCCUACACAAACCUGGACGUUGCGAAAGAUGGACGCCCUUGUUGAUGGGGGUUUGUUUGCAGACAGGCAGACCAUUGCAUGGGCUACAAGGGAAAAGCUAACCUUACAGGGCAUAUGAUUUGAGCAUUUUACAUUUUAAACCAUUCCUUCUAGCUACCUAAAGUUGAAUUGUACAUAAGGGAUUAAUGCAAGGCUAAAUGUCGCCUUUCACUACAAGUCGUAACACAUAUCAAUAAAAUCAAUCAAUAUCUGCGGUGUAACAGUAUCGCAUUCCCAUAAUGAUAUGAGGCAGUGCAGAGCAGGCUAUGUGGCUACGCUAUGUUCUGCGUGCGUAAAACACGCGCCAACGUCACAACGCUUCUACAUAGGAACAGAGCAUAUGGAUGAAAUACAGUAAUACAGUCAUGAAUUAAUGCCUUCACUUUUGUUUAAUUAAUGUUCUUUAUAAUGUUGUAAUGUUUGAAUAUCUGUAUUAUUUAUCAGGGGCGUCAUGGACUCCAAAAAUCUGAGGGGGCACAAAGUAUGUGAGGAUGGCUUGGGGGUGGUCAGGAGGUGGGCUUGGCUCCUGUUCAUUCAUAUUAUUCAUUAAACAUAUGUUGUCUUGCUACAGCCAUAAUCCUUACGCUUAAUUCUAUGUUAAACACUUUUGUUUUUCUGCAUAUCUAAGGAUACCUUUUGAGCUGUCUGUAUACUCCUGAUUAGUGGUUAUUCUUUAAAGAAACUAAAUAUGCUUCUCUGCAUCUCUGCUAAAAUGUGGGUAAAAUAUUGAAAGGAAUGUGGGUCUUAUUCAGUACAUUUAGUUAUUGCUUGCUUUUCUAAAGUCUACCAAUCUUGCCAGCAGGUAUGCCAGCGAAGAUGAUAGUUAGACAAGCUAGCUACUCUAACUUGAUUGAUUGCCUCAACCUAUCUGGGAUAGCUAAAGCCAACAUCAAAUUGCUAGGUGGCUAGUAGUUUUGAAUUGAAUUGUUUUAUUAAAUUCAGAUUGUGUGUCACUUAUCUACACAGAAUACCCCAUAAUGUCAAAGUGGAAUUGUGUUUUUAGAAAUGUUAACAAAUUAAUAUAAAAAAUAAACUUGAGUCAAUAAAAGUAUGCAAUCUUUUUGUAAUGGCAAGCCUAAAUAAGUUGAGAGGUAAAAAUGUGCUUAACAAGUCACAUAAUAAGUUGCCUGGACUCGAUCUGUAUACAAUGAUACUGUUUAACAUGACUACCCAAUCUCUGUACCUCACACAUACAAUUAUCUGUAAGGUCCCUAAGUCGAGCAGUGAAUUUCAAGCACAGAUUCAACUACAAAGACAAGGGGGGUUUUCUAUGUUUUGCAAAGAAGCGCACAUGUUGGAAAAUGUUUUUAAAGCAGACAUUGAACAUUGUGCAGUUAUUAAUUGUACACAUUAGAUGGUGUAUCAAUACACCCAGUCACUACAAAGAUACAGGCACCCUUCUUAAAUCAGUUGCCAGAGAGGAAGGACACCAUUCUUGGAUUUCACCAUGAGGCCAAUGGUGACUUUAAAACAGUAACAGAGUUUAAUGGCUGUAAUAGGAGAUAACUGAGGAUGGAUCAACAACAUCGUUACUCGGCAACAGUAACAUAAAUUACAGAGUGAAAAGAAGGAAGUCUGUUCAGAAUAACAAAUAUUCCAAAACAUGCAUCCUGUUUGCACUAAAGUAAUACUGCAAAAAAUGUGGCAAAUACAUAAACUUUUUGUCCUGAAU
This is a long non-coding RNA of Oncorhynchus gorbuscha (pink salmon), 4335 nucleotides long. RefSeq lists it as uncharacterized. The record is from RefSeq and is a predicted model, not a curated record. Lineage: Eukaryota; Metazoa; Chordata; Actinopteri; Salmoniformes; Salmonidae. The transcript is spliced from 5 exons.